This 69-nucleotide transfer RNA is filed under the name Rattus norvegicus (Norway rat). It matches the Rfam family "tRNA". From Rfam's summary of the family: Transfer RNA (tRNA) molecules are approximately 80 nucleotides in length. Their secondary structure includes four short double-helical elements and three loops (D, anti-codon, and T loops). Lineage: Eukaryota; Metazoa; Chordata; Mammalia; Rodentia; Muridae. The record is from Rfam by way of RNAcentral.
GGGGAUUUGGCUCAGUGGUAGAGCGCUUGCCUAGGAAGCGCAAGGUCCUGGGUCCGAUCCCCAGCCCCC